AGUUCAUUACUGUCUGUGGGAAUCUCCAGUCUGGACUCUGCCAUACUGUCACCUUGCAAGCAGAAAGGUGUCACAUGAAUUCUGGAGCUACAGAAGUGCUAUGACUUCAGAUGACCUUGUCUGCAGUCUUCAAGUCUUGUGUAUGCACACACAGAUUUCAUCCACUCCUAGAAGUAUGAGUGUUUAAGAAGCUUGAAAACAGUCUGAAAUGUGGAGUUCUAAUGCACUUGGAAAUGCUUUCGUGGCCCUUCUUGCUCCUCAGAAAUACUGCUUGAUUCAAUAGUAAGGCAGAAGAGUAGCUGUUAAGUGAAAUGUGUGAAUAAGUCUUGAAUGAAGUUCAGGUGAGAGUGUUACUCCAGAAAGGGAAAUGACUUUGUGGACACUCUUAGAACUUGGUAUGAAUAUUUAAAGGUGCUGAAUAAAUUGAACAAAAUCUAAUAAAUCGAUGGUCAAAACAUGUAGUAAACUUGUGUUUUCUUGUCUAAAUGAGAGUGUUUACAAUGUUAGUGGUGGCAGUCCCAAGGCAA
This 527-nucleotide long non-coding RNA is filed under the name Columba livia (rock pigeon). RNAcentral's name for it is "partial uncharacterized LOC102094178". Lineage: Eukaryota; Metazoa; Chordata; Aves; Columbiformes; Columbidae. The record is from RNAcentral.